RNAcentral lists this transfer RNA (73 nucleotides) under Daphnia pulex (common water flea). It matches the Rfam family "tRNA". From Rfam's summary of the family: Transfer RNA (tRNA) molecules are approximately 80 nucleotides in length. Their secondary structure includes four short double-helical elements and three loops (D, anti-codon, and T loops). Further hydrogen bonds mediate the characteristic L-shaped molecular structure. tRNAs have two regions of fundamental functional importance: the anti-codon, which is responsible for specific mRNA codon recognition, and the 3' end, to which the tRNAs corresponding amino acid is attached (by aminoacyl-tRNA synthetases). tRNAs cope with the degeneracy of the genetic code in two manners: having more than one tRNA (with a specific anti-codon) for a particular amino acid; and 'wobble' base-pairing, i.e. permitting non-standard base-pairing at the 3rd anti-codon position. The record is from Rfam by way of RNAcentral. Lineage: Eukaryota; Metazoa; Arthropoda; Branchiopoda; Diplostraca; Daphniidae.
GCCUGGCUAGCUAAGUCGGUAGAGCAUGAGGCUCUUAAUCUCAGGAUCGGGGGUUUGAGCCCCCCAUUGGGCG